Molecule: ribosomal RNA, 245 nt
Filed under: uncultured bacterium
Lineage: Bacteria
Description: partial 16S ribosomal RNA
Rfam family: Bacterial small subunit ribosomal RNA
Source: RNAcentral
AGUAACGCGUGGAUAACCUGCCUCACACAGGGGGAUAACAGUUAGAAAUGACUGCUAAUACCGCAUAAGCGCACAGUUUCGCAUGGGACAGUGUGAAAAACUGAGGUGGUGUGAGAUGGAUCCGCGUCUGAUUAGGCAGUUGGCGGGGUAACGGCCCACCAAACCGACGAUCAGUAGCCGGCCUGAGAGGGUGGACGGCCACAUUGGGACUGAGACACGGCCCAAACUCCUACGGAAGGCAGCAG